AUGAUUCAGGGAGAGAGAUCUGAAUUUAUCCCAGAAAUAAGACCAUUUGGAUUGACCUGGAACCCCACUAAAUGCCCAGUACAGGCUGUACACUUCCCCCAAUCUUGCUUUAACUGUUAUUCAGUGUUGACUCUGUACUACUCCUCCUUUCUACUGUUUCAGUCAUUUCUUCUUCACUCAGGUGGCAGUUUUGAGUGGGAUGAUGAUUUCCCCUUGAUGGCCCAGAACCCGUCUUACGUCUCCAUGGUGUCUGAUCCCAAUGCAACCAAGCCCCACCCAGCCCUGUCUUCACCAGGACCCAUGGCACCUACCUUGCUGCCGGCAGCCAAGAGAGCUGAGUCUGGUCUUGUGGAUGCCUUGAGGUUUUCACGCUUUACUGUCUCCCCUGCCUUGGAACCCCACCUUUCUCCAUCUUGCGAUACUGAACUUGGACCCACGGCCAACCCAAUUGAGAACUAAGACUAAGGAGAAAUCGGACAACCCAGCUGCCUCUUGUCUCCACGUUCAGAGACGAUGCCUAGUCAUCCAGUUGACUUGCUGAUUCCGAGCCACCAUUUGCCAAUUCCUAUGGCAGAUGGAUAGACAGAUGCGUGUGCGUGCGUGCGUGCGUUUGCGUGCAUGAGACGGGGCCAUUGUUGCUAACGGGAGCCUAACCUAAAUGGACUUUUGCCAUCUCUCUCAAUGUGCCCCUAUUUGGGGUGGGUGAGGCGGAACUUUUGUAUGAACAAUCAUGGGACAUCAGAUGAUGAUGGAGACAUCUCCUCGGUCUGUAAGGCCCCACCCACCCAACACUGGCUUUUGAAUGUAUAACUCCUAUCCUUUCUUGGCCCUCUGUUCCGCUCUCUGAUACGUCCGUUAUAAGGACCCUCUGUGCCAAAUGGAGUGAGUGAGAACCGGGUCUCCAGGACAUUGCCUCUGGCUGUACAUGAGUCCUCUGCAUCCCCCUGAAUCUCAUCAGCUAUACGUAAUUCUGGAAUAUGGAACAUGGCUGCCAGUCUGUUCCUCCUUUGUGCCAAAAGUGAAUGGGCCUAGUGGCAGGAUUACAUAGAAAAGACCAUUGAUUUAAGCCUUCGAUGGAGCAACACUAACAAGAUGGAAUAAUCAAAUCCGAAUCCCUACUUUGGAACUACCAAGGGAUGACUGGACUCAGUAAAACAGGUAGUGAGAUUUGGUUGGAUGGGGGAUGGGGACCUUUUUCCUGUCCCCCAAGAGGCUGAGUCAUCCCUCUCAUUUUUCAAAAGUGAUAUGCCUCUGUCUGCAUCUGUCGAUUGAUACCUGAAGUGCUAGGGAAAUAUGCUGAAUCGGUUACACCACCCAUCUGUAAGUGUAAAAGACACUGUGGCUAGUUGGGAACGGCACCUUUGAUAUUAUCCUGAUUGGUUGGUGCAUCAUAUUUGGAAGUUUGUCCAUGGUUCAUAUGUAGCAUUGAUGGAGGUGACUGGCCUUUCUUGGGACUGGCCUGUCAGGACCUUCCCAAUUCCCAACUGGUUUAUGCUCAGAAUUUUCAGAAAGUUACUGAGUCCUAGGAAAGUACUGUUAAAGUGGCAGAGAUUGGUGUAGCCAUUGAUCAGUUGUACUGAAAACAGCACAUGAAGAGAAGUGGUUUGAUUAAUAAAUGCAGGGGGCUUCAGAAAUUGAGGGAACCU
RNAcentral lists this long non-coding RNA (1646 nucleotides) under Pogona vitticeps (central bearded dragon). Its description in RNAcentral is "lncRNA (ENSPVIG00000015382.1)". The record is from RNAcentral. Lineage: Eukaryota; Metazoa; Chordata; Lepidosauria; Squamata; Agamidae.